CAAUCUUAAUUUGUCCUUGUUCAUAUGUAUCCUCUUUUCAACAGACGUUUAACGGUGUGAGCUUUUCAGCAUUCCUGGUGAAUUACACAUUCUGGGAAUUAAUCAAAGCUAUUUAGUGAAUGAAGUUAUUGCGUGGAGGAUCUGCCUGUCCUUACCUGUGACAGAGGGAUGGUACAUAUAUACAGGAGGAGAAUGGAUUUCAGGAAGGGCAUGAGCGUCUCGGAGUAAAAAUAAUUAAAUUCUGCCGAGAUCAGCUGCUGUCCAGGGACACCACCCAGGUCUAAUUCAGAGAAAAAAUAGUCAGACUGAAGCACAGCAAAAGGUGAAGAAGUUGCGAUGAGGAACUUGGUGGUACAUGAACUCUGCAAACCAGCUGGACACGACAAACAGCCUUGGUCUGAGGGCACGUGUGGGGUACAGGAGAAGCAGGGAUGAGAUCCAUAUGGAGUCAACACAUCAUUCCUCACGCUACAGAAUGGUGCAAAUACCUCCAGUCAGUGAGGUGGUUGCCUGGUGUGGUGGAGAAUUGGAAUGGGAUAGACACACUAGGAAUAUGAGACUUUUACGUGUACACCCAAGUAAGUCUGAUAAAGAACCCAAGUGGAAAUCUCUUGGUCACAAAGAAUACAAUUACAGAGCGAUAGAGG
Molecule: long non-coding RNA, 647 nt
Filed under: Lepidothrix coronata (blue-crowned manakin)
Lineage: Eukaryota; Metazoa; Chordata; Aves; Passeriformes; Pipridae
Description: lncRNA (ENSLCOG00000003507.1)
Source: RNAcentral